UGGGGAAUAUUGGACAAUGGGCGCAAGCCUGAUCCAGCAAUUCCGCGUGGGUGAAGAAGGUCUUCGGAUUGUAAAGCCCUUUCGUUGGGGACGAUGAUGACGGUACCCAAAGAAGAAGCCCCGGCUAACUUCGUGCCAGCAGCCGCGGUAAUACGAAGGGGGCUAGCGUUGCUCGGAAUGACUGGGCGUAAAGGGCGCGUAGGCGGCACAACUAGUCAGGCGUGAAAUUCCUGGGCUUAACCUGGGGGCUGCGUUUGAUACGGUUGGGCUAGAGGAUGGAAGAGGCUCGUGGAAUUCCCAGUGUAGAGGUGAAAUUCGUAGAUAUUGGGAAGAACACCGGUGGCGAAGGCGGCGAGCUGGUCCAUUACUGACGCUGAGGCGCGAAAGCGUGGGGAGCAAACAGG
RNAcentral lists this ribosomal RNA (404 nucleotides) under uncultured bacterium. RNAcentral's name for it is "bacterial SSU rRNA". It matches the Rfam family "Bacterial small subunit ribosomal RNA", at positions 355 to 776 of the family's 1533-position model. The record is from RNAcentral. RNAcentral also lists the same sequence under 1 other name.